This 5579-nucleotide unclassified non-coding RNA is filed under the name Hevea brasiliensis (rubber tree). The record is from RNAcentral. Lineage: Eukaryota; Viridiplantae; Streptophyta; Magnoliopsida; Malpighiales; Euphorbiaceae.
AAAAAAAAAAAAAAAAAGAAUUUAUAUCUGCUUACUGCUGCAACAUGCAGCCCUAAACUGCACUAUCCAAAGAACAAAUGCAUUACGCCACUUUCUAAUACUUUUACAUGUUAAAUUAGACCAUUGACAUGGCCAAACGUCCUAAUACAAUUGAUGGUUACAUAAUUGAAUGCACAACAAUUGCGUCGAAACUGGAUUCUAAUAUUUUCAUGGGUGCCAAUAACUACAUGAUGCCCCCUUCUUGCAGUACCCGUUUUCGUAAAAUUUACAUACUCGCUGCCCUUUACCCUGAGGCUUGAAAGAACCUCCUCCUCCAUUUCCGUAACCAUAUGUUGGCUGCCUGUUCCAUGAUGACCUAUCCCUACCAAAACCUGAAUCUCGACCUUGAAAAUAGUUAUUAAGGUUGUCUCUUGGACCAGAAUAUCUGUUGUCACCAUUUCUUAGUUGGUUUCCCCAACUGCCUACAUUACCUGUAGAAAUGGCUGGAUUUGAAUUAGUUUGUUGCUGAGCUGAUCCAUGACCAGUCCCCCAUGCCAUGUUCAUAUUUCCUUGAGGUGCUCCCCUAUCCAAGUUUGCAGUUCCUUUUACAGUUCCCCAGCUAGCAUCUGCUGUUGAAGAUUCAGGAUGCCGUGUGUCAGAACCAGCUUCCAAUUGGCUAACCGCUGAUGGAGUAGGACUCCGGGUGUCCGAACCUGCUUCACCUUGGUUAACGGUUGAAGAUGCCAGAGGUUCUAUUUCUGAACAUUGGUUAACUGAAACGUCACUGCGCUUUGCAUCUCCCUCUACUUCAGCACUUGAAGAGGAGUGCCCACUAAAGCUUUUUUGAGGAUCAAGAAAAUUAGUCUGCCAUAACCCAAGUGACUCCUCUGUUAAAGUCGACUUAGAAGGAACUGGAGAUGCCCCGAGUGGCUCAUCUGGUGCAACGGAAUGUGGUGGCAUCCGAGAUAACUGGUGAGGUUUAUCGGUCACAGUCAACUGAGAAGACAUUUGAGUUAUUGUGUGCGGUUCAUCAGUUACAGUUGGCUGAGAAGGCAUGAGAGAUAGCCGAAGGGGUUCAUCGGAUGCAGUCAAUUGAGAAGGCAUUUGUACAUCACCAGUGGAGCUCAAUGCAUCACUUUUACCUGGAUCAGGUGCUGGGCUAAAUGGCUCAACAGGACUAAAGCAAUCAUCAUCAGAACCUGGUGUCAAUUCCCCACCGCAGCUCAUUUUUGAUGUAGGAGAAGGUAAUCCACCAAGAGAUUCCAUUGCUUCGACUUCAGCCAAAAGGUCUGAAACAGAUUCAUCAACUAAAGAGCAGAACUCAUUGGGUUCAGGAACCAUCGGCUGCCAAGUAGAUGUAUCAAUUGUGGGGUAUUGUGGGGAAGAAUGUGUCAGUUGGCCAAUUCCUGAAGUUGGAGUAGCAGCAUGAUCACUGACCCCUUCAGUCGGUUUCAGAGAAGAUGCAUUUACAAGAUUUGAAUCCCAUUCCUCAACAGAAGGUUUGGCAGGAGUAGGAGAAUAUCCACCCCAGUCACCAGCUACUUCACGAUGCUGUCCACCACCAACCACUAAACUGGACGCAGUGCUCCAACUAGGCCCCGAAUCCUGGACAGGAACAUUUGAACCAACAGACAGUUUGUUAUCAGCAGCCUGACCUUUCAAAUCCCCAUCGCUAUGCUUUGCUGUUGGACUAGGCAGAUCAGAGAAACCUAUUUUCUGAUUCUGCUCAGAUUUCUCACUAGACUUGGCCCCAGACACAAAACCAGAAUUGGAUUCCCAUCCACUUGAGGAACUGUUUAUGGCUUGAGAUCCCCAGUUCUGUCCAGAGGAUUGGCUCGAGUAACCCUCACUGUCAGCAUGUUUACAUUUCUCAUCGAUAUUAGUUCGACCCAUAGUGGUUGUGUGUGAAUUUCCAUCUGCAUGGCAUGGAUUGGAACUCCAUUUUUCAUCCCCAUGCCCUUCCCUUGCUUGAAGCAAUGGAGUUUCAAAAAGCUUCCCAGAAGGUGGAGGUGAGAGGCCAGCCCAAGACUUGCCACCUUUGGACAAUUCCCAACCUUGUAAGGAACUUUUAGCCAGUGCAGUAUUGGUAAUUGCAACAUCCACAGCCUUAGUCCCUGUGGAAGAAUGGAAGCCCAACUCAUUACUCCUUACCAGUUCAUUAUCACCAUUACCAUGGACACUAACACCAUUCUGCACCGGCUUCAGGUCAUGAUCAACUCCUUUAUUGUCUAUCCAAGUUACAUCAGUACUCUGACUGAGCCCAUGUCCCCACCUUUUACAUGCAUCAUUAGACGCAACUGUUGUUUCCUGAGGCAGUAAAUAACUGCUGCAAUGCUGAAGCGGCCCUUUAGGGAACCGGCCAACCAAUGCAUCAGUCAAAAGAAUAGAGUCAUCUUGCUUCUCAUAUAUUCUCCAUACUCUGAAAUCAGGAGGGAAAAGCCCACUGGUUUUCCAUUUACGCAGCUGGAGCAUGGAGAAUGGCCCUUGAAAUUUUCCAGAUGGAUCCUGAUAGCGCCACAGUUUUUCCGUCUCAAAGUCGAUAACAGAUGGCUCUCUCCCUGAAGAAAAAGGCGGCAAUAUAACAAGCCCGGGAAGUGAUUCAGAUCGUAAAGCUGCUUGACUAUUCCAAUCACUAGCUACUGAGCUGGUAGCACCUAACUGGUUCCUUGAUGUAUUCUGACUAUUUAGCCUGAAUACUCCCCCUCCAUGACUCCAUGUGGAUUCACCAACUCUCUCAUGAACCUGAGUAGUACCAUCGCUAUCCAUAUUAAAAAUGCACAUGCUUUUAUUUCGUUUACAUGCAGUAGCCAAAUUCUUUUCUGCACUGUUUCCUACGUCCUCGUCAACUUCUCUCAGUGAAGAAUUAAGCUCUGCACCAUUUCUACCAACACAAGUUAAUCUUGGUCUCACAUGGUCACCUGGAUUCUUUUCAUCUGAUUCUCCAGCAUCUUCCUCCGAUUCAUGACUUGGAUCCAUACUUGGGUCUGAGUGUAUGUUGGGAAUCUCAAGCAGCCUGCGCUCACGUUCCUUGGGUGACUUCAGAAGCUCUAAUUUUUCCACACAUUCUCUAAGCUCUUUUCUAUGUCCCUUCUCACUAGCUCGAUCACGAAGAUGAUUAAGCCGUGAUAUUUCUGCUUCCAGCCAAUCACUAACUUUGACAUGUUGAAGUGCCAUUGUUUUCUCCUGAAUCUCACCCACUUUCAACCGUUUGAUAAGCCCACAUUUUAUGCUCUGGCGUAAACGUCUGCAUUCAUCCUCUGAAAACUCCUGACUUGAAAUUCCAUCAAUUGAUAUAACCUCUUUCUUGUCCAAAUUUAAUAUCUCAAGCAUGAUAUUAGUUGUUCUUGAGCCAACUUUAUAUGAUUCAGCCACCUUGCUAGUACCUACAACUUGGACAAGCCUAUGCAUAUCUUGCUUUUGAUCAAAACCCGAAAUUCUAAUUCGCACGAAUGACCCAACGACCUUUUCAUGGAACUUCUCAAAGUCAUCCAAUAGGUUCUCCACCAAAUUACGCUUUAAAUACAACAAAUUAAUAUUGUGAACAUCUAUUGCUGCAUAUUCAUCUGGAUUUGGAUGAAUCAGUGGUCCCCUCUCAUCCAUCUUUUUACGCGUUCUACGCCUUUUGUCAUUGUUCGUAAUCAAUUGACUAUCAAUGCUUCCAGAAGCCUCUAACUGGCCCCCAACAGCAUCAGCAACUCCCACUCUAACAACAUCAUCAGCUGGAGAUUUUUCUUUUAUAAGAAAGUGGUAUUCAAGAAGCUUCAGCAUUUCAAAAUGACCCACACGUGGCUUUCCAAACAGAGUCACGAGCCUUGAAUCACAAACAAUUUGACAUUUCUGUCGAGGAUCACGAAGAUUGUUUCUUUUUAUGUAUUCCAGUAAAAGACCUUGGGUGUCAAACUGAGAUAGCACAGAUGUGUCUCCAUUUUUCAUGUGUGCUACAAACUCCAAGAGCUCCUUUGUUGCCCAUGUUGUUCCUUCUGGCAAAGGUGCGACUAUGUCAAUGUCUAAUUUUUCCACAACUGGAGAGUUGUUCUCAUUGAGAAGGUUUGGCUGAUCCUUAGUUUUUCUUCUCUUAGAAUGAUUUGCCUCAACAUUUUCACAGCAGUUGUCUAAACAAGAACCUUUCUGAUCAUUACCAUGAUAAGUUUCACCUGAAGAUGCCUCCUUAGGAACCACAAUGCCAGCUCCUUUCCAGGAAUUUCUAGUUUUAGGUAGUUCAUCUCCCUUCCAAGGAUUUUUAGCUUUAGUAAGCUCAUCUAUUGUUAAAGAUAGCUUAGCUUUCAAGUAAACCCAGUAGACCUUAAAGAGAUACUCCCAGCUAGUUUUGUCAUCAAAAUCCACUUGAACCUGCAAAAUUUAUAUGCAGGAGAAAACAUCUAAACAUGACAUGAUGAAAUGGCAAUUAAUUUACUAACUAUAGGUACAUCAGUGUCCCAGCUCCAAAGAACUACCUAGCUUCAACAGAGUACGAAAGAAUUUAGGAAGAAUAAGUUCAGUGCUUCACAGCAGAGUGUAAAUUAGUAUUGGUGAUAAAAAAACAACGAUAAAAAGUCACUGCAUGAAAGAAACAAUGGCAUGCAACCCACAGAAGGGUAAGGUGCUAAAAAGACAAUAAGAAGUUUUCUCCUAUAAUCUGAUGCAUAUACGCUUCAAACACGUAAUAAAAUAAAUUAAGCUAACUUAGCAGGCCAAAAAAGGAAUUUAACAUACCAUUUCUGUAUUUCCCAGCGAAAUAUUUUCAAUCAGCAUUACCGUUCUCAUGCAUGUUCCACAAAAUCCUUUAUUCCCUCUUACACACACAUAAUCAGCAUCUUUGGUGCAACCUUUACACAAGGAGUAUGGACAAGUAUAGCACAUAUAAUGUGAAGCCUUCUGACAACGGCUACAUAUAUGCCAUCCGCAAUUCCAUUUAGCUUUUGAUCUAAAGAAUGCUUCGUCCCUCUUGAUACAAGCCGGAUGAUAUGCCUUAGGGCAGCCCCGGCGAUCACAAAGCACGAGGCUGCCACCAUCAAAACAAAUAAAGCAAACAUCCUCCUCAUCUUUCUUCUUAAUCAGGGACGGAGUUGGUGGCCUGGUUUUCCCAUGAAUUCUCGGAGGCCGACCACGCUUCCGCUUGACCGUACUUAUAUCGGCAACCGCAACUUUAGCUACAGUUCUAACCUUUAUAUCCGGCAUAGUAACAUCUCCUGUCACUGCCGCUACUGCAGGCGAAGGUCCAACGAGCAGCGAAUCAUCCAUUUCCCGAAUCGUCUGGCAUUGAUCGAUGGUCAUAAGGUCGGAGCCACUUAAAGAAUUGUCAAAAAUCAGCUGCUCUGUAUCUUCUUGACUAGAAGGUCUAUUCUCCUCCACCUGCUGCUGCUGCUGUUGUUCCAUGUAUUUGAAAAGAAUAGAACAGAAUAAAAUUCAAUUGAAUUUGAGAGAAUUACUGUACUCUACAUACUGAUUAGAUUGAAAUCCAGAUGAGAGAAGAGAAAGAUGAGGGGUUCAUUGAAAGUUCAGAAAACCCUAGGUUUGAUUUUAGUAUUUUGGAGGAGGUGGUCAUCGUUGAUGAAGAAAGAAAACAACUAUAGUGGGCACAUGGAAAUAGGCUGGUUAAG